CAUGGCGGAGAAGGUGGGCACCUGGCAAAACUCCAGGUUGUGAUGCCUUCACGCUCUUCCACCCUUGUCUAUUUGCACCUUCUGUCGUUCCCUCGGCGGGUUUCGACCCGCCGGCGGCAACAUUGAAAAACCUUUUUGCAGUUAAGCAUCCAAUUCUUCUGAUCAAAAUAUCAAAUCGUUA
Molecule: unclassified non-coding RNA, 181 nt
Filed under: uncultured fungus
Lineage: Eukaryota; Fungi
Description: sequence contains ITS1
Source: RNAcentral